UACGUAGGGGGCAAGCGUUAUCCGGAAUCAUUGGGCGUAAAGAGCUCGUAGGCGGCCUGUUGCGUCCGCUGUGAAAUCCCGGGGCUCAACCCCGGGCCUGCAGUGGAUACGGGCUGGCUAGAGGCAGGCAGGGGAGAACGGAAUUCCUGGUGUAGCGGUGAAAUGCGCAGAUAUCAGGAGGAACACCGGUGGCGAAGGCGGUUCUCUGGGCCUGUACUGACGCUGAGGAGCGAAAGCGUGGGGAGCGAACAGG
Molecule: ribosomal RNA, 253 nt
Filed under: uncultured bacterium
Lineage: Bacteria
Description: partial 16S ribosomal RNA
Rfam family: Bacterial small subunit ribosomal RNA
Source: RNAcentral